UACGUAGGAUGCAAGCGUUGUCCGGAAUCAUAGGGCGUAAAGCGAACGUAGGCGGUCCUUUAAGUCCGUGCUUAAAGACCGGGGCUCAACCCCGGGAGUGGCAUGGAUACUGGGGGACUGGAGGACGUCAGAGGGAAGUGGAAUUCCUAGUGUAGCGGUGAAAUGCGUAGAUAUCGGGAGGAACACCAGUGGCGAAGGCGGCUUCCUGGCCCGUUCUUGACGCUGAGGCGCGAAAGCUAGGGGAGCAAAC
This 250-nucleotide ribosomal RNA is filed under the name uncultured bacterium. RNAcentral's name for it is "partial 16S ribosomal RNA". It matches the Rfam family "Bacterial small subunit ribosomal RNA", at positions 524 to 773 of the family's 1533-position model. The record is from RNAcentral.